RNAcentral lists this ribosomal RNA (492 nucleotides) under uncultured bacterium. RNAcentral's name for it is "partial 16S ribosomal RNA". It matches the Rfam family "Bacterial small subunit ribosomal RNA", at positions 29 to 507 of the family's 1533-position model. The record is from RNAcentral.
AGUGAACGCUGGCGGUAGGCCUAACACAUGCAAGUCGAACGGCAGCACAGUAAGAGCUUGCUCUUACGGGUGGCGAGUGGCGGACGGGUGAGGAAUACAUCGGAAUCUACUUUUUCGUGGGGGAUAACGUAGGGAAACUUACGCUAAUACCGCAUACGACCUACGGGUGAAAGCAGGGGAUCUUCGGACCUUGCGCGAUUGAAUGAGCCGAUGUCGGAUUAGCUAGUUGGCGGGGUAAAGGCCCACCAAGGCGACGAUCCGUAGCUGGUCUGAGAGGAUGAUCAGCCACACUGGAACUGAGACACGGUCCAGACUCCUACGGGAGGCAGCAGUGGGGAAUAUUGGACAAUGGCCGCAAGCCUGAUCCAGCCAUACCGCGUGGGUGAAGAAGGCCUUCGGGUUGUAAAGCCCUUUUGUUGGGAAAGAAAAGCAGCAGGUUAAUACCCCGCUGUUCUGACGGUACCCAAAGAAUAAGUACCGGCUAACUUCGUG